CCGCUUGCAGGUAAACAGAUGGACCCACGAAGUCCAGUUGAGCAAGAGAUUCAUAUUCUUCAAUAGACAAGGUGAACAGAGAAGUCCCAAGUGGAGUGAUCUGUACACUGCUCAUUGUCGAUUGAAGGAUGCAUUUCUCUUGCUCACGAUGGAGCUCUGACUGCUCUAACUGACUUGACCGCUUAUGGCCGCCUUUGUCUGUGGUUGAUUCCUUCGGUUUCAAAUCACUUUCAAAGGUGAAGUGAGUCAAGUCGAAUUGAGCAGUUGAAAUACUUACUUCACGUAAGUUUUCAGGUUGUCGAUAUUCACUUGAUGCAGUCAAAGAUGAUAACAGCGACGCUCUUUCGACUCUCGCAGUUGAAGACGUUCUGUUAAUAUACUCAUCUUUAUGCGCUGUAACAAGUAGUAUCAUGACGAUAAUCCAGAGUAAGUAGGUCGGUCAUCCAUCUGACCCGUCUUGAAACACGGACCAAGGAGUCCAACAUUUACGCGAGUCGCUCGGUCUUGCAUAGGCCUGAGAGGCGAAAUAAACAUAACGGUAUGAUCCUAUACUCACCUUUCGAGGUAGUUGGGCGCAAUACCAACCUGCUUAUUCUGCCUUUUGACAGAUAAGUGGAGUUUGAGCGUAAAUGUUGGUACCCGAAAGAUGGUGAACUAUACUUGGGCAAGACGAAGCCAGAGGAAACUCUGGUGGAGGUCUGUAGCGAUUCUGACGUGCAAAUCGAUCGUCAGACCUGAGUAUAGGGGCGAAAGACUAAUCGAACCAUCUAGUAGCUGGUUCCUUCCGAAGUUUCCCUCAGGAUAGCUGGCACUAAACUACUCUGUAGCAUCCGGUAAAGCGAAUGAUUAGAGGUAUUGGGAUCGAAACGAUCUCAACCUAUUCUCAUACUUUAAAUGGGUGCGAGAACAUGACUUGUUUGCUCUAAAGUCAUGCUUCGUAAGAGUAGUGCCAAGUGGGCCAUUUUUGGUAAGCAGAACUGGCGCUGUGGGAUGAACCAAACGUCGAGUUAAGGCACCAAAUGCUGACGCUCAUGAGACCCCAUGAAAGGUGUUGGUUGCUAUAGACAGU
This 1069-nucleotide ribosomal RNA is filed under the name Protzia distincta. RNAcentral describes it as "partial large subunit ribosomal RNA". It matches the Rfam family "Eukaryotic large subunit ribosomal RNA", at positions 405 to 1241 of the family's 3401-position model. The record is from RNAcentral. Lineage: Eukaryota; Metazoa; Arthropoda; Arachnida; Trombidiformes; Hydryphantidae.